UUAAGUGAUCUGCCUGCCUCAGCCUCCCAAAGUGCUGGGAUUACAGGUGUGAGCCACCACGCCCGGCUGCACUAAUUAUUUGUAAUGGUAAAGAGUGUAAGCUUCCCUAGGAGGACUGUCUCCCAGUUCUGCACUAGGGGAUAAAUUGUAAUGGUCAAGGUUCUUUCAGCAGUAAGUGACAGAAAACCAGCUAAAACCAGCUCAAGCGCAAAAGGGAAUGUCAUGCCUCUGGAAGCUGGGAGGUCCAAGGGACUCAAAUAUCAUUGUAAUCCCCAGCUUUUUUUUUUGCUCUGUCACCCAGGCUGGAGUGCAGGGGCGUGGUCUUGGUUCACUGCAGCCUCGAACUCCUGGGCUCAAGUGAUCCUCCUGCCUCAGCCUCUGGAGUAGUUGAGACUACAGGCAUGCGCCACCGCCAGGCUUCCUCCCUCUCUUGGCUCUGCUUCCCUCAGGAAACGUUAUAGCUGCAAAGACCACGUAGCGACAUGAAAAUUGGUUAUAAAGCAAUGCUAAGAGAACAAGGCAGAAGACAGACUUGAAACUAUGAUGGCACAUUUGGAAUAUGAAAAAAUAGAAAACUUUUGCUCUGUAAGGGUGGUAGAAGAAUGAAUUAUUACGUCAAAAACCUUCAGUGUCUUUGCAAAAGUAUUUUAUAAUAAAUAACGUGUGCAUGCACAAA
This is a long non-coding RNA of Homo sapiens (human), 676 nucleotides long. RefSeq lists it as uncharacterized. The record is from RefSeq and is a predicted model, not a curated record. The transcript has 2 exons. Lineage: Eukaryota; Metazoa; Chordata; Mammalia; Primates; Hominidae.